RNAcentral lists this ribosomal RNA (792 nucleotides) under Roseibium aggregatum. RNAcentral describes it as "Labrenzia aggregata partial 16S rRNA". The stretch from base 1 to 445 matches the Rfam family "Bacterial small subunit ribosomal RNA", at positions 56 to 545 of the family's 1533-position model. Lineage: Bacteria; Pseudomonadati; Pseudomonadota; Alphaproteobacteria; Hyphomicrobiales; Stappiaceae. The record is from RNAcentral.
UGCAAGUCGAGCGAGAUCUUCGGAGCUUAGCUGGUUGACUUUAUGAGUAACACGGUGGGAACCUGCCUUUAUGUAUGCCUGGCAGUGGGAGACAACUGCUAAUACCGAAUGUGCCCUAUGGGGGAUCCUUUAUCGCCUAAGGAUGGGCCCGCGUUGGAGCGCUAUCAUGGGGGGCUAAGGGGGAUUAUAGGCUAGGAUCCAUAAUGGGUCUGAAAGGAGAACAUCCCACACUGGUACUGAAACACGAUCCAUACCCCUGCGGCAGACACACGGGGGAAACUCCUAAGAAUGGCAGCAAGGGUGAAUCUUGCAUGCCGGGUGAGUGAUGAAGGCCCUACGGCCGCGUGUGUGAAGAAGGUCUUCGGAUUGUAAAGCCCUUUACUUAGGAAGCCCCGGCAAACUUCUAGUCCCUUGUUGUUUUAACGUUAACGGGGCAAUAGUCGCUGGCAAACUUCGCGCGUAACGCCCAUAUUGCCGGACUGUUGCAAUUACUCAGAGGUACUGGUGAUCAACCCUGGAACUCUAGGUGUUUAAUGGAUUCUUGGAAUCCAAGAGAUCACCCUGCACGGGACAUGCAUAAUGGGAAAUUACUAUUUGACUUAUGGAAUGGAGUUCCUGUUUCGUCGUAUGGCUAAGAGAUCACGCUGAGCAGUGAGGAAAUGGACAGCCUGAUCCUUUUUGACUCUUAUUUCAAGACGUGCGAAUGAAAGGUGAUCGAUACCGUGUUAGUUCUCUUGCUGUCCACCCCAAUUACUAUUAAUCUCAACUGGGACGACUUUCGAACCUUACUCG